GAAAUGCGAUAAGUAAUGUGAAUUGCAGAAUUCAGUGAAUCAUCGAAUCUUUGAACGCACAUUGCGCUCGCCAGUAUUCUGGCGAGCAUGCCUGUUCGAGCGUCAUUUCAACCAUCAAGCUCUGCUUGAGUUGGGGAUCCGCGGCUGCCCGCGGUCCCUCAAAAACAGUGGCGGGCUCGCUAGUCACACCGAGCGUAGUAACUCUACAUCGCUAUGGUCGUGCGGCGGGUUCUUGCCGUAAAACCCACAAUUUCUAAGGUUGACCUCGGAUCAGGUAGGAAUACCCGCUGAACUUAAGC
RNAcentral lists this unclassified non-coding RNA (299 nucleotides) under plant metagenome. Its description in RNAcentral is "partial contains 5.8S ribosomal RNA, internal transcribed spacer 2, and large subunit ribosomal RNA". The stretch from base 1 to 105 matches the Rfam family "5.8S ribosomal RNA", at positions 50 to 154 of the family's 154-position model. The record is from RNAcentral.